RNAcentral lists this ribosomal RNA (373 nucleotides) under uncultured organism. RNAcentral describes it as "bacterial SSU rRNA". It matches the Rfam family "Bacterial small subunit ribosomal RNA", at positions 527 to 896 of the family's 1533-position model. The record is from RNAcentral.
CGGGGGAGCAAGCGUUGUUCGGAUUUACUGGGCGUAAAGGGCGCGUAGGCGGCCUCUGCAAGUCGACUGUGAAAUCUCCGGGCUUAACUCGGAACGGUCAGCCGAUACUGCAGGGCUAGAGUGCAGAAGGGGCAACUGGAAUUCUCGGUGUAGCGGUGAAAUGCGUAGAUAUCGAGAGGAACACCUGCGGCGAAGGCGGGUUGCUGGGCUGACACUGACGCUGAGGCGCGAAAGCUAGGGGAGCGAACGGGAUUAGAUACCCCGGUAGUCCUAGCCUUAAACGAUGAAUGCUUGGUGUCUGGGGUUUUAUAGUCCCCGGGUGCCGUCGCUAACGCUUUAAGCAUUCCGCCUGGGGAGUUCGGUCGCAAGACUG